UAAUGACAACAAAAUCAACAACAUCUGUCACCCCAUUAAUUGCUAGGGUUGAGUCAGCUCAUCUGGCAAGCUAGGCAGGUGUGUCCUUCCUCCCCAACCACUUCAUGUGCAUCCUCCCGAAGUUGUAGGCUUGGUCAAAGUGGACCUUCCCAGAAAGAGAAGGACCAGUCUUAGGUCAAGGGUAUGCAAUUAACUGCACUCCCCUGAUAGAACCUCAAAACAUACUCUCAAGGUUCUGCAACUCUUGCCUCUGAUUUGUUGUAGAAGGUUAGAAGGUGUCAUCCCAACAAACCCCGGAGCUAAUUGGAAAAAGCCUAACUUAUGC
RNAcentral lists this small nuclear RNA (325 nucleotides) under Nannospalax galili (Upper Galilee mountains blind mole rat). RNAcentral describes it as "7SK RNA (ENSNGAG00000007754.1)". It matches the Rfam family "7SK RNA". Rfam says of the family: 7SK was discovered as an abundant small nuclear RNA in the mid-70s but a possible function has only recently been suggested. Two independent studies have found that 7SK RNA binds the CDK9/cyclin T complex (known as elongation factor P-TEFb). P-TEFb activates transcription by phosphorylating the C-terminal domain of RNA polymerase II. The record is from Rfam by way of RNAcentral. Lineage: Eukaryota; Metazoa; Chordata; Mammalia; Rodentia; Spalacidae.